CACAACGCUCCUCAGAUAGGGCACUCCCCCAGCAGGGGUACAGCUUGGCUCCGGGACCUCGGUCCCGCCGAGGCUGGCUUCAGUUUCUGAAUUUGCCCACCAGUGGCUUCGAGGGCCAAGCCCCCAGGCCCUGCUGGUCCAGGAGGAGAGACAGCUGCCUGCGAGCCUCCUGCAGGGCCCUGCGGGCGAUGACCAGGCCAUGGCAGUCGUGGAGCUGCUGGCCCGAGAACUCCAGCCAGCCAGCACAGCAGCUGCUGCCGGUGCCCAGAGCCACCAGCUUGUAGAUCUCCUUCACGUGGCCCCUGGCACGCGGGAUCUCUGUGCAGGAGGGGGCAGAGACGGCCCAGCCUAAGGCCCAGUAUGGCGAGCGCUCGUCCAACAGGAGGUCAAAGCCGGCGCUCACCAACGCUGCGCAGCGCUGCUCAUGGGUCAGGAUGUUCUCUGCGCCAGGGCGAGAGACUGCAGGUGACGUCCUGAUGCUCAGAUGGUUUGUACAGCAACCCACCUCCUGCUCACACGCACAGCCACUUCCGCCUCCCCACGGGACUGCCAGCCUCAGUCCUCUUGUCCCCAGCUGCGGCUCAGCUGCCUGGCCCUCCCUCCAUUACCUGGGUUCUCCAGCUGACUCCGGAUGUAGCAGAGGGCAGAGAGCGCUGCCUGCUGUUUGGCCUCCGUCUUGCUAUUCGCAGUGCCCGCAGGGCAGACCACCCCAUCCAGUUCCGCGCUCACCGAGAAGGGGAAGCAGGGACCUGGGGAAGGAGCCAGGUGAGGAAGCAGCCCCCUGGCCUUCGCCCUGUGACAGCAGGCUCCAUCGCCACCCCAUGCCGCGCACACCCUUGAGUGCCUCUGCAGGCUGUGACCCAUCGCUGAUUCAACCAAGUCCUCACCCAACUCCUCCACAGCAGGGAUGCGUGACUCCAUUUCACAGAUGAGCAGAAACGGCAGGCGGUUUGCCCAACUUGAGUCAGGACCCAAAUCCAGGUCCCCUCUCCAGAGCCCACGCCACCCUGUUCUCAGGAGGAAGGCUCUGAGCACUUCCACCUGCCACAGACACAUUGCUUUCAAUUCCUCUCCUCCAGGGGCUCUAUAUUUGAACACUUUUCCUAUGAAACAGUAUCAUUUUGGGUGUUACUUAUAACACAAAAGAGAGAUGAAAAAUCUGGAACUGGGAUCACAUGGUCAAAGGUGCAGGGUUAAUUUCACAGUACUUGCUGCUAAAUUGUUUCUCCCAAGGACUGCCCCUCUGGGGGUUUCCCUUUUGGAAGGGAACCCAUUUCAGCACUCCCCACUGCGCUGAGAUCUGUCUGCUCUAAACAGGCAUCAAAACCAGCAACCACAGACAGACGUGGAAGGGAUGUUGGCCUUAGAAAGCCAGCAUGUGGCUGCCAUCCUAACAGCGACUGAAUCUGGGGAGAACCAUCAAAGCAUGAUUUUCUAAAACCACAAGUGACAAUGUUAUAGGGACAGGAUAUCUACAUGAUCUCCAAAUGCCUCCCCUGGAUGACUUAUUCAGCACAAAGGAGAAAGUGAAGACACCUGGUAGAUGCCACCCUAGUCAAAUCCCCACAGCUCGCAUCGCCAGGGGACAAAGCAAGAUCGCACACUUCCUGGUGAGAUGCGUGCCAAAGACUCGACAUCACUUCAAUAACACAUCACCUGAACUCAGUUCUGAGGAAACAGACAAACCCAAGCUGAAGGACAUUCGCAAAACUACUGGCCCUUACUCUUCAAAGACAUCAAUGUUGUGAAAGACAAAGACAGGAACUGUUUCAGGUAAGAGAUUAAAGAGGCAUGACAGCUAACUGUAAUGUCAUACUGGGAUGGGAAACAAUGGCCAUGAGGUCAUUACUGGGACAACUGGCAAAAUUUGAAUGUGAAUAGAAAUUAGAAGAUGGUAUUAUAUCAAUGUUAAAUUUCCAGGAUUUGAUAAUUGUAUUGUAGUUACAUAAGAGAUGCCCUUGUUUUUAAGAAAUAUAGAUGAGGCCGGGCACAGUGGCUCACUCCUGUAAUCCCAGCACUUUGUGGGGCUGAGGACAGGAACUCAAGACCAGCAUGGCCAACACGGUGAAACCCCAUCUCUAUUAAAACACAAAAAAAUUAGCUGGGCACGGGGGCACAAGUCUGUCAUUCCAGCUACUCGGGAGGCUGAGGCGCAAGAAUCGUUUGAAUUCGAAAGGCAAAGGUUGCAGUGAGUUGAGAUCUCACCACUGCACUCCAGCCUGGGCCACAGAGCGAGACUCUGUCUCAAAGGAAAAAAAAAAAGAGGGCUGGGCAAGGUGGCUCUAACCUAUAAUCCCAGCACUUUGGGAGGCCAAGGCGGGCGGAUCACUAGAGGUCAGGAGUUUGAGACCAGCCUGGCCAACAUGGUGAAACCCCAUCUGUACUAAAAAUACAAAAAUAAAUUAGCCGGGCUUGGUGUGGACACCUGUAAUCCCAGCUACUCAGGAGGCUGAGGUAGGAGAAUCACUUGAACUUGGGAGGCAGAGGUUGCAGUGGGCUGAGAUAGUGCCACUGAACUCCAGCCUGGGCCACAAGAGUGAAACUCCAUCUC
This is a long non-coding RNA of Homo sapiens (human), 2551 nucleotides long. NCBI's taxonomy places the organism in Eukaryota, Metazoa, Chordata, Mammalia, Primates, Hominidae. The record is from Ensembl.